This 775-nucleotide ribosomal RNA is filed under the name uncultured Neocallimastigales. RNAcentral's name for it is "partial large subunit ribosomal RNA". It matches the Rfam family "Eukaryotic large subunit ribosomal RNA", at positions 24 to 631 of the family's 3401-position model. The record is from RNAcentral. Lineage: Eukaryota; Fungi; Neocallimastigomycota; Neocallimastigomycetes; Neocallimastigales.
UAUGUGAUCGUCUCUCGCAUAUCAAUAAGCGGAGGAAAAGAAACUAACAAGGAUUCCCCUAGUAACGGCGAGUGAAGCGGGAAGAGCUCAAAUUUGAAAUCUUAAAGGGUUUCCCUUUACGAAUUGUAGUUUAAAGAAGUGUUUUCUGUUGAGGUUUUGGUAAAAGUUCUUUGGAAUAGGACAUCAUAGAGGGUGAGAAUCCCGUAUUUGACCUUUACUUUCAACUUUGUGAUACACUUUCAAAGAGUCGGAUUGUUUGGGAAUGCAGUCCAAAAUGGGUGGUAAAUUUCAUCUAAAGCUAAAUAUUGGCGAGAGACCGAUAGCGAACAAGUACCGUGAGGGAAAGAUGAAAAGAACUUUGAAAAGAGAGUUAAACAGUACGUGAAAUUGUCAAAAGGGAAGCGUUUGACACCAGUGUUGUUUUUCUGAAAAUCAAUUAAAGAACUGUUUAUGCUAAGUUGUUUAGACUUUAUCAGCUAACUGUUUAGUUUUGAGCUUUUCUUUAAUGCACUUUUCAGUUAACAAGUCAACAUCAAUUUCUUUUGCUGUAAAAAAGCUUGAGGAAGGUGGCUUGAGAUUCGUCUUAAGUGUUUAUAGCCUCUUGCCUAUGCAGUCGGAGAGAUUGAGGUCUGCAGCGUAGAUCCUUCGGGGCUAAAUGCAUUUGUGCUAAGUUAUAGCAUUUUAUAGACAACUUGUUGAACUAUGAUUUGUCUUGUAGCUUACUCGCUUAUGUUAUUUUACCUACGCUUAGGAUGUUGAUCUACAGAGCGAGAGU